This is a long non-coding RNA of Podarcis raffonei (Aeolian wall lizard), 653 nucleotides long. RefSeq lists it as uncharacterized. The transcript is spliced from 2 exons. The record is from RefSeq and is a predicted model, not a curated record. NCBI's taxonomy places the organism in Eukaryota, Metazoa, Chordata, Lepidosauria, Squamata, Lacertidae.
CCGAACCUGGAAAAGAGGAUUAAGAUAGGUUAGCCAGGUGCUCUUUGCUCUCAAGAGCAGAAUCAAAGCAAGAGAGCUGAGCUGGGUCAAAGCAGGAGGAAAAAGUGGGGCAGGCAAAGCAGAGUCAUUUCCCAUUGGUGGCUUUCUGGUGUUAUACCCUAGGACCUGAUCUCUGUGCUUCAGAUGGGAUGCUCUCUCUGUAUCUUUAGGCCGCCUCGAGACCACAGUAUCUCUGAGCAAGACCAGAAUGCCCUUCCAUACCUACUUCAAUUGCCUUGGUUCUCAUGUUCACCCACACCACCACUCUGGGAGGGUGGCUGCAGUUACCCUCUUCUCUUAUGCCUAGCCGCUGCUUUGACUUGGAACAAGCUAGAGCAGAAGCAGCCAAGAGGAGUAUCCUCCAAAUGUUGUUCAACUACACCUAUCAGCUCCAGUGAGAGUGGCCAAAGCUCAAGGAGGAAGGGAGCUGGAGUCCAAGAACACGUCUCAGCUAGAGUGCAACUCAGCGUUUACUUUAUCUGCUGAUCCAUCAAUUCAGAGGGAAACCAUAAUGCACAACCAAACCCAGAGGACAUUUAUGGGUUUCUUCCCAAGAACACAUAUAUGUUACGGAAAAGCACUGGGCUGCCAGUAAAAACAACAUCACUUAGUCA